GUGGUGGCUCAGUGGUAAAGCGCUUGCCUAGCAUGCAUGAGGCACUGGGUUCAAUCCUCAGCACCACA
This 68-nucleotide transfer RNA is filed under the name Ictidomys tridecemlineatus (thirteen-lined ground squirrel). Its description in RNAcentral is "Spermophilus tridecemlineatus (thirteen-lined ground squirrel) tRNA". It matches the Rfam family "tRNA". From Rfam's summary of the family: Transfer RNA (tRNA) molecules are approximately 80 nucleotides in length. The record is from Rfam by way of RNAcentral. Lineage: Eukaryota; Metazoa; Chordata; Mammalia; Rodentia; Sciuridae.